This 218-nucleotide ribosomal RNA is filed under the name uncultured bacterium. Its description in RNAcentral is "partial 16S ribosomal RNA". It matches the Rfam family "Bacterial small subunit ribosomal RNA", at positions 57 to 305 of the family's 1533-position model. The record is from RNAcentral.
GCAAGUCGAGCGCACCUUCGGGUGAGCGGCGGACGGGUUAGUAACGCGUGGGAAUAUACCCAGUUCUACGGAAUAGCCUCGGGAAACUGAGAGUAAUACCGUAUACGCCCUUCGGGGGAAAGAUUUAUCGGAAUUGGAUUAGCCCGCGUUAGAUUAGAUAGUUGGUGGGGUAACGGCCUACCAAGUCUACGAUCUAUAGCUGUUCUGAGAGGAUGAUC